GAUGAACGCUAGCUACAGGCUUAACACAUGCAAGUCGCGGGGCAGCAUGGGGGUUGCUUGCAACCCCUGAUGGCGACCGGCGCACGGGUGAGUAACGCGUAUCCAACCUGCCCUUCACCACGGGAUAACCCGGCGAAAGUCGGACUAAUACCGUAUGUUGUCCAUUGACGGCAUCCGAUUUGGACGAAAGGCUUAGCGGUGAGGGAUGGGGAUGCGUCCGAUUAGCUUGACGGCGGGGUAACGGCCCACCGUGGCGACGAUCGGUAGGGGUUCUGAGAGGAAGGUCCCCCACACUGGAACUGAGACACGGUCCAGACUCCUACGGGAGGCAGCAGUGAGGAAUAUUGGUCAAUGGGCGGAAGCCUGAACCAGCCAAGUAGCGUGCAGGAUGACGGCCCUAUGGGUUGUAAACUGCUUUUAUGCGGGGAUAAAGGAGCCCACGUGUGGGUUUUUGCAG
This 457-nucleotide ribosomal RNA is filed under the name Prevotella sp. oral taxon 317. Its description in RNAcentral is "bacterial SSU rRNA". It matches the Rfam family "Bacterial small subunit ribosomal RNA", at positions 28 to 474 of the family's 1533-position model. Lineage: Bacteria; Pseudomonadati; Bacteroidota; Bacteroidia; Bacteroidales; Prevotellaceae. The record is from RNAcentral.